RNAcentral lists this ribosomal RNA (443 nucleotides) under uncultured bacterium. Its description in RNAcentral is "partial 16S ribosomal RNA". It matches the Rfam family "Bacterial small subunit ribosomal RNA", at positions 338 to 795 of the family's 1533-position model. The record is from RNAcentral.
CCUACGGGAGGCAGCAGUGGGGAAUAUUGGGCAAUGGGCGCAAGCCUGACCCAGCAACGCCGCGUGAAGGAAGAAGGCUUUCGGGUUGUAAACUUCUUUUCUCAGGGACGAAGCAAGUGACGGUACCUGAGGAAUAAGCCACGGCUAACUACGUGCCAGCAGCCGCGGUAAUACGUAGGUGGCAAGCGUUAUCCGGAUUUACUGGGUGUAAAGGGCGUGUAGGCGGGAAAGCAAGUCAGAUGUGAAAACCAUGGGCUCAACCUGUGGCCUGCAUUUGAAACUGUUUUUCUUGAGUAUCGGAGAGGUAAUCGGAAUUCCUAGUGUAGCGGUGAAAUGCGUAGAUAUUAGGAAGAACACCAGUGGCGAAGGCGGAUUACUGGACGAAAACUGACGGUGAGGCGCGAAAGCGUGGGGAGCAAACAGGAUUAGAUACCCCAGUAGUC